This 611-nucleotide ribosomal RNA is filed under the name uncultured bacterium. RNAcentral describes it as "bacterial SSU rRNA". The stretch from base 1 to 518 matches the Rfam family "Bacterial small subunit ribosomal RNA", at positions 338 to 873 of the family's 1533-position model. The record is from RNAcentral.
CCUACGGGAGGCAGCAGUGGGGAAUAUUGGACAAUGGGCGCAAGCCUGAUCCAGCAAUGCCGCGUGAGUGAUGAAGGCCUUAGGGUCGUAAAGCUCUUUUACCAGGGAUGAUAAUGACAGUACCUGGAGAAUAAGCUCCGGCUAACUCCGUGCCAGCAGCCGCGGUAAUACGGAGGGAGCUAGCGUUGUUCGGAAUUACUGGGCGUAAAGCGUACGUAGGCGGUUAUUCAAGUCAGAGGUGAAAGCCCGGGGCUCAACCCCGGAACGGCCUUUGAAACUAGGUAGCUAGAAUCUUGGAGAGGUCAGUGGAAUUCCGAGUGUAGAGGUGAAAUUCGUAGAUAUUCGGAAGAACACCAGUGGCGAAGGCGACUGACUGGACAAGUAUUGACGCUGAGGUACGAAAGCGUGGGGAGCAAACAGGAUUAGAUACCCUGGUAGUCCACGCCGUAAACGAUGAUAACUAGCUGUUCGGGCACUUGGUGCUUGAGUGGCGCAGCUACGACAUUAAGUUAUCCGUCCGUCGGGUAGGUACGGUCGCGAAGAAUUAAAACUUAAAAGGUAAAGUUAGUACGGCGUGAGACGUGCCGAACGGACGACGACGAGGGAGUAGG